GAGAAAGAAAUUGAUUUAUAUCUUUGGGAAUCUGAGCCAAAAGCAGAUUUGAGAAGAGUUAUCAUUUCUUAAGCAUCUACUGUGUUGAUAACUAAUCCAGGCUUUGUAUGUAUGUGUGUAUGAGGUCACAUGAAUAUGCGUAUCAUGCUUAAUUCUUAUUGUCAGUUUAAUUAGAUUAGGAGCCAGCUAAAAUAACAACCUGGACAGGUCUGUGAGACAUUUCUAGGAUGGAUUACCCACAGGGAGUAGGCCCUCCCCUAGAGUGGGGAGUGUUUACAUGAUAGUUCAAAUUUAAGGUUCUCUCUCUCUCUUUCUUUUUGUUUCUGUUUUUGUAUUUUAAGACAGAAUUUCUCUGUGUAGCCCUGAGUUCAAAUUGCCCUGGGAUCUACCUGCCUCUGCCGUCAGGGAGUGCUGGGAUUAAAGGUGUACACCAACCCCUCCUGGCCUGAGGGACCUCUUAGAGUCAUCCAGAAAGAAUGCUUUAACUGAGGAAUUGCUUUGAUCAUAAUGACCGGAGGGAGGGCAUGUCUAUUGGGGGGAUUGUCUUGAUUUUGUUGUUGUUUAUUUGUUUGUAGUCCCUCAAUACCCCAGCCCCCUCCCCCCUCCAUGGUUUCUCUGUGUAGCCUUGGCUGACCUAAAACUUGCUAGGUAGACCAGGCUGGCUUUGAAUUCACAGAAUCCACCUCCUUCUGCCUCCCUGGAGUGCUGGAAUGAAAGGCCACCACUACCUGGCAUUGAGUGUUGAUUGAUGUAAGAGAGCUCAGCCCCAUUGGGGAGGCACCAUUCCCUAGAUAACUGCUCUUGAACUGUAUUGUUUCCUAGAGAGGGAAAGAAAGAGGGAGAGGGAGAGGGAGAGAGUGUGUUUUAUGAAUGUGUGGGUGUAGGUGCACAUAAGAGCACAAGUGCAUGUGUGCACAGAUAAUAUUGAGGUCUUCUUCAAUCGUUUCUCCACUGUCUCACUAUGUAGCCCUGGUUGUCUUCAUACUUGCCAUGUAGAUCAGGCUAGCCUCACUCACUUGCUAUGUAGAUCAGGCUAGCCUCACUCACAGAGACAGAUCACCUGCUGCCCCUGCCUCUCCAGCGCUGGGAUGAAGGCCAUGUGCCCUGUACACGUACACAGGCACCUUGUUUCCCCCACUGGACUUGAAGCUCACAGUUGGCUAGACUGGCUGGCUAGUAAGCAACAGAGCUAGGUACCGGGAUUGCAGGUCUGUGCUGCGGCAUCCGGCUCUUUACAGAGGUGUGGGGGAGCUGAUCUCACACCUCCAUUCAUGCUUGUGCAUCAGGUCAACCCCCACAUCUAUACUUUGUAAUCACAGCAAUCCUGAGAGGGGGGCUGUUGUCAACCCCAACUUUGAGGACCCUGAGGACAUCAAGGGCUUAUAGCUGCCAUUUCUGCAAAGGUAGGAAGCACGGUUUCUCUCCAUAUUUUCAUGUUUCUGAAAUUGGGUUGAGGGCUAGGAAAAUGGCUCGGUGGGUAAAGUGCUUCCUGCAUAAGUGCAAGGACCUGAGUUCAAAUCUCCAGAACUCACAUAAAAGCCAGAUGUUCAAGGUGAGCUGUGGUAACACUAGCACUUCCAUGGGAUGAUGGGAGGCAGGGACGGCGAAACCUCAGACACUCACAGCUGGCCUAGUGCACACAGCAGAGGACAACAGAGAACAAGAGACCCCAUCCCAAGCAAGGUGGAAGACAAGGACCACCAUGCGGGGCUGUCCUCAGACUGCCAUAUGUGAACUGUCAUACACGUGCCCAUAUUCACACAUAUGUACACACUGUACACACAAACACACACACACACACACACACACACACACACACACACACACACACACACACCAGAACCUUCAGCAUGCUGGACAAUUGCUCUACCACUAAGCAACACAGCCUUAUUUUGAGACCGGGUCUCAUUAAGUUGAUCAUACUCUGUACCCCAUGUAGGUCUUGAAGACGUGAUCCUGCUGCUUCCGCUUGGACUAGCUGAGAUUACAAGUGUAUGCCAGUAGGUGUGGCUUCGUAUUUUGAGGCAGGGUUUCACCGUGUAGCCUAGGCUGGCCUGGAAUCCUCUGUGUAGACCAAGCUGAUGCUGAGCACACAAGAGUUGCCCUGCCUACCAAGUGCUGAGGAUAAGGUAUACCUAGCACAAUGGUGUGUCUCAACGCAGGGGCAUCUUAACUUUGAUGGGUAUCUAGUGUCUACCGUAACAACCUUCUUUGCAGUUCACCUUAGUCAUUCAGAACUUUUGGUUGCAAGUCGAGCAACUUCCCCUCAAAACAAGAAAAAAUUUGGCCCAGUAGUUGGACAGAAUGCUGGGCACAGAUCACUGGGUUAGAGGAAGACCUGCAGGGAUCCUAAGAGUGGGUUUCAACUCUGUUAGAUUUCUGCCCAUCUUUUAUCUCUGCUUAAUUUACCAAUAGGCUUUCUCUUCUCUAGGUCAGCCCCAAAUGUAACAAUCCCAGGAGGAAAAGAACCCUGGAGAGAUGUGCUACUGCCUCUGUAUCAAUCUUAGGGAGAAGUCCAGAUUGGCCCUCCUGGGAUCACAUGACUAUCUCUGUCCAGUCCUUGUGGCUAGAGAAAAGUGUAUCCUGAUGAUCCAACCACCAUUGACACAUCCUUCCCUAUAGCCAGAAAAUGUCACUGGAUGUGGGUAGGAGUGAGCUGGCCAUUAGCACCGUAUCACCCAAUGGUCAUUUUCAUAGGAUGCCACCCACUGUCCCCUGAGACAAGAGGAUCUUAGGAAGAAGAACAUUGGAAGUCUAUG
This 2759-nucleotide long non-coding RNA is filed under the name Mus musculus (house mouse). RNAcentral describes it as "long non-coding RNA chr1:180784809-180787568". The record is from RNAcentral. Lineage: Eukaryota; Metazoa; Chordata; Mammalia; Rodentia; Muridae.